GGACGAGAACAAGUUAACAAUAAAAACAAUAGGUAGGUUUUGUCAUAAUAGAGGCCAUUCGGGAUGAUGAUCGGGAAAAUUUAGACUGCCACUGGAAAAUGAUGGUAUAUUGGAUUGGGACAGAAAUUUUCCAUUGCAACAUGCCACCUACGGACUCCUCAAAGAGUUGAUGCAAGGGUUUUUAACGUGCAAAGAACGUGACACUCCCUUUACACGAGGCAUCGGAUUUAACGUCCCCAUUCUGACCGGACGUGACUGCGAAC
Molecule: long non-coding RNA, 263 nt
Filed under: Mytilus galloprovincialis (Mediterranean mussel)
Lineage: Eukaryota; Metazoa; Mollusca; Bivalvia; Mytilida; Mytilidae
Source: RNAcentral